RNAcentral lists this ribosomal RNA (498 nucleotides) under uncultured bacterium. RNAcentral describes it as "partial 16S ribosomal RNA". It matches the Rfam family "Bacterial small subunit ribosomal RNA", at positions 29 to 523 of the family's 1533-position model. The record is from RNAcentral.
AUUGAACGCUGGCGGCAUGCUUUACACAUGCAAGUCGAACGGUAACAGGCCGCAAGGUGCUGACGAGUGGCGAACGGGUGAGUAAUGCAUCGGAACGUGCCCAGUCGUGGGGGAUAACUAUCCGAAAGGAUAGCUAAUACCGCAUACGAUCUGCGGAUGAAAGCGGGGGACCUUCGGGCCUCGCGCGAUUGGAGCGGCCGCUGGCAGAUUAGGUAGUUGGGGGGGUAAAGGCUCACCAAGCCAACGAUCUGUAGCUGGUCUGAGAGGACGACCGGCCACACGGGGACUGAGACACGGCCCAGACUCCUACGGGAGGCAGCAGUGGGAAAUAUUGGACAAUGGGCGCAAGCCUGAUCCAGCAAUGCCGCGUGCAGGAAGAAGGCCUUCGGGUUGUAAACUGCUUUUGUACGGAACGAAACGGCUCUGGUUAAUACCUGGGGCUAAUGACGGUACCGUAAGAAUAAGCACCGGCUGACUACGUGCCAGCCGCCGCAGUAA